UCUCCGUUGGUGAACCAGCGGAGGGAUCAUUACAGAGUUAUCUAACUCCCAAACCCAUGUGAACUUACCAUUUGUUGCCUCGGCGGAGCCUACCCUGUAGCUACCCUAUAAGGUGGUUACCCUGUAACGCUCCGCCGGUGGACUACUAAACUCUUGUUAUUUUUAAAGUAAUCUGAGCGUCUUAUUUUAAUAAGUCAAAACUUUCAACAACGGAUCUCUUGGUUCUGGCAUCGAUGAAGAACGCAGC
Molecule: unclassified non-coding RNA, 247 nt
Filed under: uncultured fungus
Lineage: Eukaryota; Fungi
Description: sequence contains ITS1, 5.8S rRNA gene
Rfam family: 5.8S ribosomal RNA (bases 199-247)
Source: RNAcentral